Molecule: small nucleolar RNA, 87 nt
Filed under: Thielaviopsis punctulata
Lineage: Eukaryota; Fungi; Ascomycota; Sordariomycetes; Microascales; Ceratocystidaceae
Source: RNAcentral
AUAUGAUGAUCCCAUUUAGAUGACGAGUCUUAUUUGCGCUUGCAAUGCAGACAACAUCUUUUAAUUACCAUUCAUGCAUUCCUGAGA